Cavia aperea (Brazilian guinea pig) is the source of this 107-nucleotide small nuclear RNA. The record is from Ensembl. NCBI's taxonomy places the organism in Eukaryota, Metazoa, Chordata, Mammalia, Rodentia, Caviidae.
GUGCACUCACAUUGGCAGCAUGUAUAUUAAGAUUGGAACAAUAUAGGGAAAAUUAGCGUGACCCUUGUGCAAAGAUGACACAAAUUUGUGAGAUGUUCCAUACUUUU